This 466-nucleotide ribosomal RNA is filed under the name uncultured bacterium. Its description in RNAcentral is "partial 16S ribosomal RNA". It matches the Rfam family "Bacterial small subunit ribosomal RNA", at positions 28 to 507 of the family's 1533-position model. The record is from RNAcentral.
GAUGAACGCUGGCGGCGUGCUUAACACAUGCAAGUCGAACGGAAAGGCUCCUGCUUGCAGGGGUACUCGAGUGGCGAACGGGUGAGUAACACGUGGGUGAUCUGCCCUGCACUUCGGGAUAAGCCUGGGAAACUGGGUCUAAUACCGGAUAGGACGAUGGUUUGGAUGCCAUUGUGGAAAGUUUUUUCGGUGUGGGAUGAGCUCGCGGCCUAUCAGCUUGUUGGUGGGGUAAUGGCCUACCAAGGCGUCGACGGGUAGCCGGCCUGAGAGGGUGUACGGCGACAUUGGGACUGAGAAGCGGCCCAGACUCCUACGGAAGGCAGCAGUGGGGAAUAUUGCACAAUGGGCGCAAGCCUUAUGCAGCGACGCCGCGUGGGGGAUGACGGCCUUCGGGUUGUAAACUCCUUUCGCUAGGGACGAAGCGCAAGUGACGGUACCUGGAGAAGAAGCACCGGCUAACUACGUG